Molecule: ribosomal RNA, 253 nt
Filed under: uncultured bacterium
Lineage: Bacteria
Description: partial 16S ribosomal RNA
Rfam family: Bacterial small subunit ribosomal RNA
Source: RNAcentral
UACGAAGGGGGCUAGCGUUGCUCGGAAUCACUAGGCGUAAAGCGCGCGCAGGCGGCUAUCCAAGUCAGUGGUGAAAGCCCGGAGCUCAACUCCGGAACUGCCAUUGAAACUGUUUAGCUUGAGGAUGAGAGAGGUGAGUGGAAUUCCCAGUGUAGAGGUGAAAUUCGUAGAUAUUGGGAAGAACACCGGUGGCGAAGGCGGCUCACUGGCUCAUUACUGACGCUCAGGCGCGAUAGCGUGGGGAUCAAACAGG